Molecule: ribosomal RNA, 481 nt
Filed under: uncultured bacterium
Lineage: Bacteria
Description: partial 16S ribosomal RNA
Rfam family: Bacterial small subunit ribosomal RNA
Source: RNAcentral
GAUGAACGCUGGCGGCGUGCUUAACACAUGCAAGUCGAACGAAGCACUUUAUUUGAUUUCCUUCGGGACUGAUUAUUUUGUGACUGAGUGGCGGACGGGUGAGUAACGCGUGGGUAACCUGCCUUGUACAGGGGGAUAACAGUUGGAAACGGCUGCUAAUACCGCAUAAGCGCACGGCAUCGCAUGAUGCAGUGUGAAAAACUCCGGUGGUAUAAGAUGGACCCGCGUUGGAUUAGCUAGUUGGUGAGGUAACGGCCCACCAAGGCGACGAUCCAUAGCCGACCUGAGAGGGUGACCGGCCACAUUGGGACUGAGACACGGCCCAAACUCCUACGGGAGGCAGCAGUGGGGAAUAGUGCACAAUGGGCGAAGGCCUGAUGCAGCGACGCCGCGUGAGCGAAGAAGUAUUUCGGUAUGUAAAGCGCUAGCAGCAGGGAAGAUAAUGACGGUACCUGACUAAGAAGCACCGGCUAAAUACGUG